Molecule: ribosomal RNA, 38 nt
Filed under: Beauveria bassiana
Lineage: Eukaryota; Fungi; Ascomycota; Sordariomycetes; Hypocreales; Cordycipitaceae
Description: partial 18S ribosomal RNA
Source: RNAcentral
ACAAGGUCUCCGUUUUGUGAACCAGCGGAGGGAUCAUU